UACGUAGGGCGCGAGCGUUGCCCGGAAUUAUUGGGCGUAAAGAGCUCGUAGGCGGUCUGUCGCGUCUGCUGUGAAAACUCAGGGCUUAACCCUGAGCUUGCAGUGGGUACGGGCAGACUAGAGUGCGGUAGGGGAGACUGGAAUUCCUGGUGUAGCGGUGAAAUGCGCAGAUAUCAGGAGGAACACCGGUGGCGAAGGCGGGUCUCUGGGCCGUAACUGACGCUGAGGAGCGAAAGCAUGGGGAGCGAACAGG
Molecule: ribosomal RNA, 253 nt
Filed under: uncultured bacterium
Lineage: Bacteria
Description: partial 16S ribosomal RNA
Rfam family: Bacterial small subunit ribosomal RNA
Source: RNAcentral